This 277-nucleotide unclassified non-coding RNA is filed under the name air metagenome. RNAcentral describes it as "partial contains small subunit ribosomal RNA, internal transcribed spacer 1, and 5.8S ribosomal RNA". The stretch from base 1 to 46 matches the Rfam family "Eukaryotic small subunit ribosomal RNA", at positions 1786 to 1831 of the family's 1831-position model. The record is from RNAcentral.
AAGUCGUAACAAGGUUUCCGUAGGUGAACCUGCGGAAGGAUCAUUAACGAAUUGUAAAGGGAGUUGAUGCUGGUGGCCUUUUCUGGCUGCAUGUGCUCGCUCUCGACAAUAUCAUCCAUACACCUGUGCACCUCUGAGGGUCCGAGUUAGUUUUCCGUUAAGGAAUGACUGAUUCGGUCCUCUCAAUCACAUACACCUUAAUAAAACAUCGAACGUGAAAGUGCCGCAAGGCCAUAAAUAUGAAAUACAACUUUUAACAACGGAUCUCUUGGCUCUC